This 483-nucleotide ribosomal RNA is filed under the name uncultured bacterium. Its description in RNAcentral is "bacterial SSU rRNA". It matches the Rfam family "Bacterial small subunit ribosomal RNA", at positions 28 to 493 of the family's 1533-position model. The record is from RNAcentral.
GAUUAACGCUGGCGGCGCACAUAAGACAUGCAAGUCGAACGGAAGUCGUUAUAACUCAGAACGAAGAUUUAUCUGAGGGACGAGAUAUAACAAUGGCUUUAGUGGCGGACUGGUGAGUAACACGUAAGAAACCUGCCUAUUAGAGGGGAAUAACAACGAGAAAUCGUUGCUAAUACCGCAUAAGCUAGUAGUACCGCAUGGUACAGCUAGAAAAGGAGAAAUCCGCUAAUAGAUGGUCUUGCGUCCGAUUAGCUAGUUGGUGGGGUAACGGCCUACCAAGGCAACGAUCGGUAGCCGAGCUGAGAGGCUCAGCGGCCACAUUGGGACUGAGAUACGGCCCAGACUCCUACGGGAGGCAGCAGUCGGGAAUAUUGCGCAAUGGAGGAAACUCUGACGCAGUGACGCCGCGUAUAGGAAGAAGGUUUUCGGAUUGUAAACUAUUUUAGACAGGGAAGAAAUUGACAGUACCUGUAGAAUAAGCUC